RNAcentral lists this ribosomal RNA (498 nucleotides) under uncultured bacterium. RNAcentral describes it as "partial 16S ribosomal RNA". It matches the Rfam family "Bacterial small subunit ribosomal RNA", at positions 29 to 523 of the family's 1533-position model. The record is from RNAcentral.
AUUGAACGCUGGCGGCAUGCCUUACACAUGCAAGUCGAACGGCAGCACGGGGCAACCUGGUGGCGAGUGGCGAACGGGUGAGUAAUGCAUCGGAACGUACCUUUCAGUGGGGGAUAACGUAGCGAAAGUUACGCUAAUACCGCAUAUUCUGUGAGCAGGAAAGCAGGGGAUCGCAAGACCUUGCGCUGAUUGAGCGGCCGAUGUCAGAUUAGCUAGCCGGUGAGGUAAAGGCUCACCAAGGCGACGAUCUGUAGCGGGUCUGAGAGGAUGAUCGGCAGCACUGGAACUGGGACACGGGCCAGACUCCCACGGGAGCCAGCAGGGGGUAAUUUUGGACAAUGGGGGCAACCCUGAUGCAGCCAUGCCGCGUGGGUGAAGAAGGCCUUCGGGUUGUAAAGCUCUUUCGGCCGGAAAGAAAUCGCACGGGCUAAUACCCUGUGUGGAUGACGGUACCGGAAUAAGAAGCACCGGCUAACUACGUGCCAGCAGCCGCCGUAA